This 161-nucleotide ribosomal RNA is filed under the name Cortinarius sp. GDA53691. RNAcentral describes it as "5.8S ribosomal RNA". It matches the Rfam family "5.8S ribosomal RNA". From Rfam's summary of the family: 5.8S ribosomal RNA (5.8S rRNA) is a component of the large subunit of the eukaryotic ribosome. It is transcribed by RNA polymerase I as part of the 45S precursor that also contains 18S and 28S rRNA. Functionally, it is thought that 5.8S rRNA may be involved in ribosome translocation. The record is from RNAcentral. Lineage: Eukaryota; Fungi; Basidiomycota; Agaricomycetes; Agaricales; Cortinariaceae.
AUACAACUUUCAGCAACGGAUCUCUUGGCUCUCGCAUCGAUGAAGAACGCAGCGAAAUGCGAUAAGUAAUGUGAAUUGCAGAAUUCAGUGAAUCAUCGAAUCUUUGAACGCACCUUGCGCUCCUUGGUACUCCGAGGAGCAUGCCUGUUUGAGUGUCAUUA